UACAGAGGGUGCGAGCGUUGUCCGGAAUCACUGGGCGUAAAGGGCGCGUAGGCGGCCUGGCAAGUCAAUGGUGAAAGCUCAGGGCUCAACUCUGAGUCGGCCACUGAUACUGCUGGGCUGGAGUCUGGUAGAGGCAGAUGGAAUUCCGGGUGUAGCGGUGGAAUGCGUAGAGAUCCGGAAGAACACCGGUGGCGAAGGCGGUCUGCUGGGCCAGUACUGACGCUGAGGCGCGACAGCGUGGGGAGCAAACAGG
This 253-nucleotide ribosomal RNA is filed under the name uncultured Gemmatimonas sp. RNAcentral describes it as "partial 16S ribosomal RNA". It matches the Rfam family "Bacterial small subunit ribosomal RNA", at positions 524 to 776 of the family's 1533-position model. Lineage: Bacteria; Pseudomonadati; Gemmatimonadota; Gemmatimonadia; Gemmatimonadales; Gemmatimonadaceae. The record is from RNAcentral.